This 480-nucleotide ribosomal RNA is filed under the name uncultured bacterium. Its description in RNAcentral is "partial 16S ribosomal RNA". It matches the Rfam family "Bacterial small subunit ribosomal RNA", at positions 28 to 507 of the family's 1533-position model. The record is from RNAcentral.
GACGAACGCUGGCGGCGUGCUUAACACAUGCAAGUCGAACGAUGAAGAAAAGAAUUGAAGCUUCGGCAGAAAUUCAUUUCGGAUUAGUGGCAGACUGGUGAGUAACGCGUUAGCAACCUACCUCUUACAAAGGGAUAGCCACGGUAAACCGGGAUUAAUACCAUAUAACAUUGCGACGAAGCAUCUCGCUUCACUCAAUGCUACGGCGGUAUGAGAUGGUCUCGCGUCCCAUUAACCAGAUGGUGAGGUAACGGCGCACCAUAGUAACGAUGGGUAACCGGGCUGAGAGGGUGAGCGGUCACACUGGAAGUGAGACACGGUCGAGAAUCAUACGGGAGGCAGCAGUAGGGAAUAUUACACAAUGGAGGGAAGUCUGAUGCAGCGACGCCGCGUGAGUGAUGAAGGAAGUCGUAUAGUAAAACUCUGUUAUAUGGGAAGAAAAGGACUGUACCACAGGGGAAAGCCCCGGCUAAAUACGUG